RNAcentral lists this ribosomal RNA (565 nucleotides) under Aspergillus fumigatus. RNAcentral describes it as "eukaryotic LSU rRNA". The stretch from base 184 to 337 matches the Rfam family "5.8S ribosomal RNA". The record is from RNAcentral. Lineage: Eukaryota; Fungi; Ascomycota; Eurotiomycetes; Eurotiales; Aspergillaceae.
GGGCCUCGAUGAGACUCUGGGUCACCUCCACCCGUGUCUAUCGUACCUUGUUGCUUCGGCGGGCCCGCCGUUUCGACGGCCGCCGGGGAGGCCCUGCGCCCCCGGGCCCGCGCCCGCCGAAGACCCCAACAUGAACGCUGUUCUGAAAGUAUGCAGUCUGAGUUGAUUAUCGUAAUCAGUUAAAACUUUCAACAACGGAUCUCUUGGUUCCGGCAUCGAUGAAGAACGCAGCGAAAUGCGAUAAGUAAUGUGAAUUGCAGAAUUCAGUGAAUCAUCGAGUCUUUGAACGCACAUUGCGCCCCCUGGUAUUCCGGGGGGCAUGCCUGUCCGAGCGUCAUUGCUGCCCUCAAGCACGGCUUGUGUGUUGGGCCCCCGUCCCCCUCUCCCGGGGGACGGGCCCGAAAGGCAGCGGCGGCACCGCGUCCGGUCCUCGAGCGUAUGGGGCUUUGUCACCUGCUCUGUAGGCCCGGCCGGCGCCAGCCGACACCCAACUUUAUUUUUCUAAGGUUGACCUCGGAUCAGGUAGGGAUACCCGCUGAACUUAAGCAUAUCAAUAAGCGGAGGA